AUUGAACGCUGGCGGCAUGCCUUACACAUGCAAGUCGAACGGCAGCACGGGAGCAAUCCUGGUGGCGAGUGGCGAACGGGUGAGUAAAGUAUCGGAACGUGCCCAGUCGUGGGGGAUAACGUAGCGAAAGUUACGCUAAUACCGCAUACGAUCUAUGGAUGAAAGCGGGGGAUCGCAAGACCUCGCGCGAUUGGAGCGGCCGAUAGCAGAUUAGGUAGUGUGUGGGGUAAAGGCUCACCAAGCCGCAGAUCUGUAGCUGGUCUGAGAGGACGACCAGCCACACUGGGACUGAGACACGGCCCAGACUCCUACGGGAGGCAGCAGUGGGAAAUUUUGGACAAUGGGCGAAAGCCUGAUCCAGCCAUGCCGCGUGCAGGAUGAAGGCCUUCGGGUUGUAAACUGCUUUUGUACGGAACGAAAAGGUUUGGCCUAAUAAGCUGAGCUCAUGACGGUACCGUAAGAAUAAGCACCGGCUAACUACGUGCCAGCAGCCGCCGCGG
This 500-nucleotide ribosomal RNA is filed under the name uncultured bacterium. Its description in RNAcentral is "partial 16S ribosomal RNA". It matches the Rfam family "Bacterial small subunit ribosomal RNA", at positions 30 to 523 of the family's 1533-position model. The record is from RNAcentral.